AGCAGCCGCGGUAAUUCCAGCUCCAAUGGCGUAUAUUAAAGUUGCUGCAGUUAAAAAGCUCGUAGUUGAAUUUCGGGACCAUCAUGUCGGUCGUGCCUCGGUACGUACUGGCAUUGUUGGUUUCUACCUUCUGACGAACCAUGAUGUCAUUUAUUUGGUGUCGUGGGAAAUCAGGACUGUUACUUUGAAAAAAUUAGAGUGUUUAAGCAGGCUCACGCUUGAAUACAUUAGCAUGGAAUAAUGAAAUAGGACGUUUGAUUCUAUUUUGUUGGUUUCUAGGAUUGACGUAAUGAUUAAUAGGGAUAGUUGGGGGCAUUAGUAUUCAAUUGUCAGAGGUGAAAUUCUUGGAUUUAUUGAAGACUAACUACUGCGAAAGCAUUUGCCAAGGAUGUUUUCAUUAAUCAAGAACGAAAGUUAGGGGAUCGAAGACGAUCAGAUACCGUCGUAGUCUUAACCAUAAACUAUGCCGACUAGGGAUCGGAUGAUGUUAAUUUUUUUAAUGACUCAUUCGGCGCCUUAC
Molecule: ribosomal RNA, 520 nt
Filed under: uncultured Glomus
Lineage: Eukaryota; Fungi; Glomeromycota; Glomeromycetes; Glomerales; Glomeraceae
Description: SSU rRNA
Rfam family: Eukaryotic small subunit ribosomal RNA
Source: RNAcentral